AGAUGGAGCUAGAGAUUUUUUAGAGAAGAAGGAUUAAGAAAAGUCAAGAGUUUGUAGCAAUUGAGAGGUGGAAUGUUAAAUCCCAUUUCUCUUUGGCUUUUAUUGUUAUAUAUACUUGAUUUAAAUUCUCAUAUCAUUAGGUUUCUGAAAAUUAUACGUGUAGUUUUGUGCAUCCGGUUGAUGAUCAGCCUCUAAAUAUUGAUAGAUAACAUGAUUGGAUAUAUAUGGUUAAAAUUUUAAGUUAAUCCACCGUAAAUUCACCGUCGAAUAUUUGUAUGAAGCCGGAUGAUAGUUUCUGAAAUUCUGCUCAGUUUUGCUUUGGUCAUAGUUUUGGAUAUCUUAGUCACUCCGAGUUCGGAUCUCCAUUUGGGUUUGACCGUGGUCCGGAACUCGGGAUGUUACAAGAAGUGUGUGGCAAGAUUGAGAAGAAGGACGUUGAACUUAAUUUGCAAUCUGAGAACUCCUUGAAAAACCAAAUUAUCCAUAUUUCUCGCCAAAAGGAAGGGCAUAUUCAAGAGAUUAAGUCUUUGAAGGAGUAUUUGAAUGAGACCAACGAGGAUCUGUAGAAAAUGGAUAAAGAUACCAAGAAGAUCGCCAAAAUGGAUCAGCGAAACGCCAACAUUUCCAAACAGAAGUUCGUUGAUAAAAUUUGCAACCGGCAUGGCCUGCCUCGUGAAAUUCUUGAAUUCGACCCAAUAUCUGAUGAUGACAAGCAUGGGGAUGAAGCUAUUGGGACUGAUGCCUAAGAUGGUGGCGAAGAUGACGAAGAAACUGAUGAUGACAUAUUCACUGCUGAUCCUAUCAAUCCCUUGGAUAAAUCGUAUGCUCUUACGGGUACUUCUGUGAAAAAAGAUAGUUCUUCUCAUGACCGGGAUGCUUCUAAGGAACAACGUCCUAAUGAUGCUGAAGAUGAUCUCCCUGUAAAUCAAUUUCUCAAUCAUAAUUGAUUUCACUUUAUCAAGCUGAACUUAUUUCUUUCCUUAACAUUUACAGGGCGCUCCCAAUCUUGGGAGGGAUGUUUUAGGUUGACCUUUAUUCUUAUUUUUUUUAUCUUGCUUUUAUCACCUGCACGUUUUAUGAAGGCACUCUACUAUAUUUUGUAAUAGCAUAGUUAGUGUUA
Molecule: long non-coding RNA, 1120 nt
Organism: Papaver somniferum (opium poppy)
Lineage: Eukaryota; Viridiplantae; Streptophyta; Magnoliopsida; Ranunculales; Papaveraceae
Exons: 3
Source: RefSeq, a predicted model, not a curated record